Pangasianodon hypophthalmus (striped catfish) is the source of this 802-nucleotide long non-coding RNA. RefSeq lists it as uncharacterized. The transcript is spliced from 3 exons. The record is from RefSeq and is a predicted model, not a curated record. Lineage: Eukaryota; Metazoa; Chordata; Actinopteri; Siluriformes; Pangasiidae.
GAGAGAGAAAUAGAGACAGGGUGUGAAUGUAUGUGAGUGUGGUUUGCAAUGCGUGCCCGCACAUACACACACACACACACACACACACACACACACACACACACACACACACACACAGGACAGUGUGUGGCACCUCUUCAAUCACCCUGGCUAAUUCUCUAUUGCCAUAAGACAUUUAUCUUUCCCAGCUAUGAGAUGCUGCUUGGCCCAGACAGAUUGUGCCUGUAAUGUAUUCUCAUGAAGACCAGCUGAUGAAGAAAAAAGAACGAAUAAAAGCCCUGUAUGUUUACCAUCUCCAUGACAACCACAAGAGGCCAGACAAAGGGCAUUCAGGAUCCAAGUCCUGAUGCAAGUGGACCGGUGGACCGGUGGACCGGUGGACCGGUUCCUUUUGGACAUCUGGUUCCUCUCAUGUCAUCUCAGGGAGUUCUUUCCUCUCCACUGUUGCCUCUAAAUCUAUACCUGGAUUUCUGUAAAGCUGCUUCGUGAAACUGUUUAUUAUACAAAUACAAAUAAAAUUGCACUGAAUUAAAUCACUUACCCGACCAGCAUGUUCUAGCAUGUUUCAUUUCAGAAUACUUUAAGUGUAAGCUUGUGUAUGUGGCAUAUUACGACUUUUUUUUUUCCUGUGGUUAGAUAAUUGAGACAGGGUGUGUACCACCAGUGUCAGCAUGAUAAAUCUCAGCUCACCAGAAAACACCCUCGCCUCAGACUCAAACACACCCAUGCCAGGCUGCAUAUCCUGUGCAAAUGCACAAAAUCUAAUUUGCUUCUGUAACUCAGCCAUCAUUACUGGAGAGAA